UGGGGAAUAUUGGACAAUGGGCGAAAGCCUGAUCCAGCAAUGCCGCGUGAGUGAAGAAGGCCUUAGGGUUGUAAAGCUCUUUCACCCGCGACGAUGAUGACGGUAGCGGGAGAAGAAGCCCCGGCUAAUUCCGUGCCAGCAGCCGCGGUAAUACGGAAGGGGCUAGCGUUGUUCGGAAUCACUGGGCGUAAAGCGCGCGUAGGCGGCCGGUCAAGUGCGGCGUGAAAGUCCUGGGCUCAACCCGGGGACGGCGCUGCGGACUGUCCGGCUGGAGUCCGGAAGAGGGUGGUGGAAUUCCGAGUGUAGAGGAGAAAUUCGUAGAUAUUCGGAGGAACACCGGUGGCGAAGGCGGCCACCUGGUCCGGUACUGACGCUCAAGCGCGAAAGCGUGGGGAGCAAACAGG
This 404-nucleotide ribosomal RNA is filed under the name bacterium. RNAcentral's name for it is "partial 16S ribosomal RNA". It matches the Rfam family "Bacterial small subunit ribosomal RNA", at positions 355 to 776 of the family's 1533-position model. The record is from RNAcentral.